RNAcentral lists this transfer RNA (69 nucleotides) under Marmota monax (woodchuck). RNAcentral describes it as "tRNA.Val". The record is from RNAcentral. Lineage: Eukaryota; Metazoa; Chordata; Mammalia; Rodentia; Sciuridae.
GUUUGUGGCUCAGUGGUAGAGUGCUCGCCUGACACACGUGAGGCACUGGGUUCCAUCCUCAGUAACACA